GGAGGAAAAGAAACUAACAAGGAUUCCCCUAGUAACUGCGAGUGAAGCGGGAAAAGCUCAAAUUUUAAAUCUGGUGGUCUCUGGCCAUCCGAGUUGUAAUCUAGAGAAGUGUUACCCGCGUCGGACCGUGUAUAAGUCUCCUGGAAUGGAGCGUCAUAGAGGGUGAGAAUCCCGUCUUUGACACGGACUACCGAGGCUUUGUGGUAUGCUCUCAAAGAGUCGAGUUGUUUGGGAAUGCAGCUCAAAAUGGGUGGUAAAUUCCAUCUAAAGCUAAAUAUUGGCGAGAGACCGAUAGCGAACAAGUACCGUGAGGGAAAGAUGAAAAGAACUUUGGAAAGAGAGUUAAACAGUACGUGAAAUUGCUGAAAGGGAAACGCUUGAAGUCAGUCGCGUUGGCCGGGAAUCAGCCUUGCUUUUGCUUGGUGUACUUUCUGGUUGACGGGCCAGCAUCAGUUUUGACCGGUGGAAAAAGUUCAGAGGAAUGUGGCAUCUUCGGGUGUGUUAUAGCCUCUGUUCGUAUGCAUCGAUUGGGACUGAGGAACUCAGCACGCCGCAAGGCCGGGUCUUUGACCACGUUCGUGCUUAGGAUGCUGGCAUAAUGGCUUUAAUCGACCCGUCUUGAAACACGGACCAAGGAGUCUAACAUGCCUGCGAGUGUUUGGGUGGAAAACCCGAGCGCGUAAUGAAAGUGAAAGUUGAGAUCCUUGUCAUGGGGAGCAUCGACGCCCGGACCUGACGUUUUCUGACGGCCCUGCGGUAGAGCAUGUAUGUUGGGACCCGAAAGAUGGUGAACUAUGCCUGAAUAGGGUGAAGCCAGAGGAAACUCUGGUGGAGGCUCGUAGCGAUUCUGACGUGCAAAUCGAUCGUCAAAUUUGGGUAUAGGGGCGAAAGACUAAUCGAACCAUCUAGUAGCUGGUUC
This 919-nucleotide ribosomal RNA is filed under the name Candolleomyces typhae. RNAcentral describes it as "partial 25S large subunit ribosomal RNA". It matches the Rfam family "Eukaryotic large subunit ribosomal RNA", at positions 52 to 957 of the family's 3401-position model. The record is from RNAcentral. Lineage: Eukaryota; Fungi; Basidiomycota; Agaricomycetes; Agaricales; Psathyrellaceae.